RNAcentral lists this ribosomal RNA (253 nucleotides) under uncultured bacterium. RNAcentral's name for it is "partial 16S ribosomal RNA". It matches the Rfam family "Bacterial small subunit ribosomal RNA", at positions 524 to 776 of the family's 1533-position model. The record is from RNAcentral.
CACGGGGGGAGCAAGCGUUGUUCGGAAUCACUGGGCGUAAAGGGCGUGUAGGCGGUCAAGUAAGUGGAAUGUGAAACGCCUCGGCUUACCCGAGGACCUGCAUCCCAAACUGCUUGGCUUGAGUAUGGGAGAGGAUGAGGGAAUUCCUGGUGUAGCGGUGAAAUGCGUAGAUAUCAAGUGGAACACCAGUGGCGAAGGCGAGUCUCUGGACAUUUCCUGACGCUGAGGCACGAAAGCCAGGGGAGCAAACGGG